GAUGACCGCUGGCGGCGUGCUUAACACGUGCAAGUCGAACGAAGCACUUUAUUUGAUUUCCUUCGGGAUUGAUUAUUUUGUGACUGAGUGGCGGACGGGUGAGUAACGCGUGGGUAACCUGCCUUGUACAGGGGGAUAACAGUUGGAAAAGGGCUGUUAAUACCCCAUAAGCGCCACGCCAUCGCAUGGAUGCAGUGUGAAAAAACUCCGGUGGUAUAAGAUGGACCCGCGUUGGAUUAGCUAGUUGGUGAGGUAACGGCCCACCAAGGCGACGAUCCAUAGCCGACCUGAGAGGGUGACCGGCCACAUUGGGACUGAGACACGGCCCAAACUCCUACGGGAGGCAGCAGUGGGGAAUAUUGCACAAUGGGCGAAAGCCUGAUGCAGCGACGCCGCGUGAGCGAAGAAGUAUUUCGGUAUGUAAAGCUCUAUCAGCAGGGAAGAUAAUGACGGUACCUGACUAAGAAGCACCGGCUAAAUACGUGCCAGCAGCCGCGGUAAUACGUAUGGUGCAAGCGUUAUCCGGAUUUACUGGGUGUAAAGGGAGCGCAGGCGGUGCGGCAAGUCUGAUGUGAAAGCCCGGGGCUCAACCCCGGUACUGCAUUGGAAACUGUCGUACUAGAGUGUCGGAGGGGUAAGCGGAAUUCCUAGUGUAGCGGUGAAAUGCGUAGAUAUUAGGAGGAACACCAGUGGCGAAGGCGGCUUACUGGACGAUAACUGACGCUGAGGCUCGAAAGCGUGGGGAGCAAACAGGAUUAGAUACCCUGGUAGUCCACGCCGUAAACG
Molecule: ribosomal RNA, 786 nt
Filed under: uncultured bacterium
Lineage: Bacteria
Description: bacterial SSU rRNA
Rfam family: Bacterial small subunit ribosomal RNA
Source: RNAcentral